UACUACCCCGUUCCAAAAUAUCUUAUACAAUAUUUUGAUUCUUUAUCUUAUUUAAAAUUUUUUUACUAUUAAUAUUUUUUUCUUACUCGAUGAUAAAAUAUGAAUAAUAUUUUAUACGUAACUAUAUUUUUUUAGUUUUUUAUAAAUUUUUUAAAUAAGACGAAUGAUCAAACGUUGAACACGGAAAAACGAAAGACGAUCUUAUU
RNAcentral lists this microRNA precursor (206 nucleotides) under Oryza brachyantha (malo sina). RNAcentral describes it as "MIR812 microRNA precursor family". The stretch from base 22 to 206 matches the Rfam family "MIR812 microRNA precursor family", at positions 23 to 205 of the family's 205-position model. The record is from Rfam by way of RNAcentral. Lineage: Eukaryota; Viridiplantae; Streptophyta; Magnoliopsida; Poales; Poaceae.